Long non-coding RNA from Zingiber officinale, 1815 nucleotides. RefSeq lists it as uncharacterized. The record is from RefSeq and is a predicted model, not a curated record. The transcript has 4 exons. NCBI's taxonomy places the organism in Eukaryota, Viridiplantae, Streptophyta, Magnoliopsida, Zingiberales, Zingiberaceae.
UCACGUCUUUAUCUUCAAGCUCCAUCUCGUCUUCUCUCUUGGAAAUCAAAGACAAGGGCGGGGGGGCAACAUGGAGAGGGUUGCGCUACUCUGCUCCUUAUCUUGCGCCAGCACUAUCUGAAGGCGCCUUCUCUCCUCACCACGCUCCUUGUCUCGCCUCUUCUCCUCCAACAUCUGCAGGCCCCGGAGGUCACAACAGUUCUUCCCCUACACUGUGUUGACUCUCCACUUUUGGCGGAAGCACCCCACACCGCUGCUAUGCUUGGGGCGGGGCUUUCCUAUAACUUCCAUCCGUGCAGUCUCCACCUCCCUUGUCGAAAGAGGUUAUUCAUAAAAAGCAAAAAGAAUAACGAUGCAUUAUAAAUAUUAUCACAGACUGUCUCGCAAGGGUUACAUCGACUUAGAGGCUGAAUUGGUAAGCUUCGAAGCAUUAUAUUUGUCAUUUUCAAGCAAGUAUUUAAUAUUAUGUAACUAAUCAUUUUUUUGGAAUUAUAGAGGGAGAAAAAAUUAAUUGUUGAAAAUGAGAAAGUUGAUAAAUCGUACUUUGGCGUAAAACACGCGAGUACAAAUCUGACAACAUAACAAAUAUGUAGAUAGCAGAAGUCGUUGAAAAAAAUUAUAAAUAUUUUUUUAUCUAAUUUUCAUAUUUCCUUGCUAAAUAAUAUUGAAAUUUUUGGAUUGAUUUGUUACAAUCCCAUAUUGUAGGAUAACUUGUUGGAAAAGAAAGUCAAAGGAGAGUUCAAAUCUCAAUUAUUUGAAUACUCAUAAGAAUGUUUUAAAAUAUUGUAGAAAAAUGUGCAACAUCAAUUAUUUUUUCCUUCGGAUGUUCAUGGUCAUCAAGACAAGUACAAGGAAAUUGAAAAAACAUUGCCGAUGGCAUGCAAGUAUAUCUACUCGUAUGUUAUCAGAUUGAUGCAUGAAGAUGAGAGUAUACACAGAAUUUGAUGAAGCUAUGUUUGGACCUCUUAAAAGUGUAUGGUUGCUAAGAGAAGAUAUCUUAUGCUUUAUGGAAUGAAAGAGAUAGGUGUCAAACAUAUUUUGAUUUACAUGGGGUAUGUUAUGUGUUAAAUACAAUAUUUGUUCAUAUGGUUUGCUUUGUUCACAAUAUUAGUUCACAUGCUUUUGCUUUGGUUUACAUUGGGUAUAUUUAUAUUUUUCAUUACUUUGUCAUUACCUUGUAAUUACCUUGCAGUUACCUUUACAAAUACUUGAAGAAAGAAAAAAGAGAUGAGUAUGUAUCAUUUGUAGAUCUUGGUCACAUACCUACAUGCGGUGUGGGUGAAGAAGGCAGUAAAUUGUCAUAACAUAUUGCUGCUCAGUUGAGAGCAUCGAACAGAGAUAGCAGAAAUUGUCCCAUAUAACAUUGGGUACCAUUGGAUCUUGACUAUAAUUAAUGAAGAUAAGAAUAUGAUAUAUUUAUUGGACUCUUUGAGUAAUAGGAACCGAGACUUUGCUUGGCAAACUAUUGUGACCAAUGGGGUUAAGAUAUACAAUGCAUCAAGGGGUAUUUCAAAAGGACCAGGUUUUAAACAAUUGAUAGUAUGUAUUGUGACUAUGUAUUUAGACAAUAAUUAAUAAUUUUUAUUAUUUGGAUUGUGACUUCUUGUAUGAUAUUUUCAAUUUCAUUAGGGUAAUGUUAAAUAAAAUGGUGGUGUUGAAUGUGAAUAUUGUGUGAUGCGGUACAUGAAAGAGAUACUCUUGGAUGAAGAUCCACAAUUGGAGAGAAAGGUGUAUUUUUUUCUUUAUGAAAUAUUUUCUUUAUAAAAUAUUGAAUCAUUUUUUAUCGAUCCUCAAACUUCUGUUAAUGUUUCAGUU